UUGGUUUCCCUGAAGUCUCUCUUCUUGGCUUGUAGAUAGUUGCCUUCUUGCUGUGCCCUCACCUGCACCCACAUAUUUGGUGUCUCUUCUUCUUGUUAUAGGGACACCACUUAUAUUGAAUUAGGGCCCCACCCUAAAGACCUUAUCUUAGUCAUAUCUUUAAAGGUACUGGGGGUUAGGACUUCCACAUGUGAAUUUUGAAUGGACACAAUUCAGUCCAUAGCAGUAAGUUGACUGACAUUCUAGGGUUUUACAACAACUCUCAAUUAUUUCCUCUCCUUGCUUCUUUUUCUUUUUUUUUCUUUUUUUUUUUGGUGAGACAGAGCCUUGCUCUGUUGCCCAGGCUGGAGGGCAGUGGCGUGAUCUUGGCUCACUGCAACCUCCACCUCCCGAAUUCAAGUGAAUCUCAUGACUCAGCCUCCCAAGUAGCUGGGAUUCCAGCCACGUGCCACCACGACCAGCUAGUUUUUGUAUUUUUUGGUAGAGACGGGGUUUCACCAUGUUGGCCAGGGUGGUCUCAAACUCCUGAUCUCAAGUGAUCCACCCACCUUGGCCUCCCAAAGUGCUGGAAUUACAGGCAUGAGUCACCGUGCCCAGCUGUGGUUUUUUGUUUUUGUUUUUGUUUUGUUUUGUUUUGAGAUGGAGUCUUGCUCUGUUGUCCAGGCUGGAGUGCAGUGGCAUGGUCUUGGCUCACUGCAAACUCCACCUCCCGGGUUCAAGCAAUGCUCCUGCCUCAGCCACCCAAGUAGCUGGGAUUACAGGUGCCUGCCACCACGUCCAGCUAAUUUUUUGUAUUUUUAGUAGAGAUGGGGUUUCACCAUGUUGGCCAGGCUGGUCUCGAGCUCCUGACCUAGUGAUCUGCCCACCUCAGCCUCCCAAAACACUGGGAUUACAAGCAUGAGCCACUGUGCCCGGCCAGUAUGGUUUUUAGAUGAGUAAAUCUCUUGUUAAUUUUGGAAGCUGCUGAACCAACAUCUCUUCCAACAUCUCCUCCUCCACCUCCCUUUUGAACUUCAGUAAGAUAUUGUAAGCAUUUGUAACAGAGCAGUUUCUGGAGCAAUUAACCUGGCCAGGUAUAACAAGUACCUCAUUCUCUGAGCCUAGUGGUGAACUGGGAGCUAGUGAUGGUCUUCCCUGAGCUUUGAGCCUCAAACUUUUCCAAUGGUUUUUUAAAUCCCCCACUGCCUGAAAUAUCUAUAGUAAUUUUUGUUUCCUGACUGAACUCUGAUACAACUAAACACAAAACACAUUUAAAAUUCUGAUCCUUUCAUAGUUCAUAAGCAUGAUUGGGUUUUCACACUAUGUGUAAGAUGUGCCUCCAUCAAACCUUGUUAGGAUGUUGGCAUAUCACCCAUCUGAUGUGGGGGGAAAAUAAAAGUUCAAUGUAGUCCCAGCUACUCAGGAGACUGAGCCAAGAGGACCACCUGAGCCCAGGAGUUCGGGCUGCUGUGGGAAAUGACUGAACUUGUGAAUAUCACUGCACUCCAGCCUGGGCAACAGUGCAAGACCUAGUCUCUGAAAAAACAGUUCUAGAGACAAAUGACAAUCCACAUAAAGUUAGUGUUUCUUUCGUUGGAAGUUACAGAAAAUGACUCAAGCUAGCAUCAGUUGAGGGUGGGAGAAAAAAAUUUUAUUAUAAAAAUUCAGGCUUACAGAACUCAAAAAUAGAAAUGCAAUCAGUAAUCAGUCCUAAGAAAGUACUAGAAUGAAUCCUUUGGAAGGACAGCAGGAACCUGGCAGCAUUCUCAAUAAACGUCUUGUUUCUUUGCCUAAAGGUUUUCUUCACUGCCUUUUCUAAGUGGUGGAGAGCAUGUAAAUUCAAAUCCCAAGUUUUCCCUUCUACUGCAUUCAAGAAGCCCAAUCUGAGAUUGAAAUCCUUCCGUUCCAAACCCAUAUCUCGCAAAAAGAAAAUCUGAUUAGUCCAAGUUAAAUUUCUUUUUUUAGUUUAUUUUUAUUUUAUUUAUUUUUUUGAGACGGAGCCUCGCUCUGUUGCCCAGGCUGGAGUGCGGCGGCCGGAUCUGGGCUCACUAUAACCUCCACCUCCCAGGUUCAAGUGAUUCUCCUGCCUCAGCCUCCCGAGUAGCUGGGACUACAGGCACGUGCCACCAUGCCUGGUUCAUUUUUGUAUUUUUAGUAGAGACGGGGUUUCACUAUGUUGGCGAGGCUGAUCUCGAACUCCUGACCUUGUGAUCUGCCCACGUCGGCCUCCCAAAGUGCUGGGAUAAAGGCGGGAGCCACGGCCCCCAGCAGCCACCGCCACCACUGCCUCCUCCUCCUUCUCCUCCUCCUCCUCCUCCUACUCCUCCUCCUCCUCCUCCUCAUCCUUCUCCUCCUCCUCCUUCUUCCUCUUUCUUUUGAGACAGGGUGUCUCUCUGUUGCUUAGGCUAGAGUGCAGUGGCAUGGUCACAGCUCACUGUGGCGUACUGAAGCCUCAACCUCCCAUCUCAGCCUUCCAAGUAGCUGGGACUACAGGCUCACACCACCAUGCCUGAUUUUGUUGUUGUUGUUAAGAAAUGAGGCCUCGCUCUGUUGCCCAGGCUGGUCUUGAACUCCUGGCCUCAAGUGAUGCUCUUGCCUCAGCCUCCCAAAUUUCUGGGAUUACAGGCAUGAGCCACUAUGCCCAGCCAUCAGCUUGAAUUUCAUCUUCUUUCCACUUAUCACCUUUGGCAGUAGGGGCAUGUUCAAACAGCAGCAGCGAAACUAUUUGAACCACCCUGAGGUUGGCGUGGGAACUUUCCGGAGAGAAUAGAUAAUCAAGAAAACAACAGUGUCAGGUGUCUACUGAGGAAAAUUGUGCAAUACAUAUACGUGUUACCUGGGCGCUAUCCAGGACUACCAUGUGUGGUUAUGCGGGUUACUCACACGCAGCACACUUGGCUGAGGAUUAAGUAGGAUCUGAGCUUGGUGCCCCAAGCUGAAAGCUCUGGUGUGGGCUGCAUUCACUCAGAGGAAGAGGUUCCCUUUUAAAAUUAGCACAAGAGUGCUUCACCAGCUUUCAGGAAGUAGCUCUAGUAAUCGUUUUAAAAAUAUAUUAAUAUGCUUUUCUUUUCCUAGUGAUGGAAUGAGAUUUUUUAUCUUUUUUUUUUUUUUUUUUAUUCUGAGGCAACCAUUUGCUCUGGAGAGAAUGUGGACUGUUAGGUCACAAAUGGAAAAUAGGAUGAAAAAGUCAAUUUUCAGAUUUUAUAAAGCAAACUAGGAUCUUAAAACCAGUCAUGAGAAAAUGGCCUGGCAAGUCAGACUUUAUUAUAAGAAAAGGAUUUCAGAAUUUUAAAAGCAUCCUUUCAUAUAUCAAAAGCAAGGCUUAGAUGUUGGGAAAUUGAGUUUUAUUAUAAAGCUGUGUAUAGAGAAGAUCCAAAUCAUGAAAAGGAAUUAGAGAGCCCAAGACUCAGGGAAGGAGGAGAAAGAAAAGCAAUAAAGGGGGAAAAGGCUGGGCGCGGUGGCUCAUGCCAGCACUUUCGGAGGCCGAGGCGGGUGGAUCAUCUGAGGUCAGGAGUUCGAGACCACCCUGGCCAAAGUGGUGAAACCCUGUCUCUACUAAAAUUACAAAAAUUAGGUGGACAUGGUGUUGAGUGCCUGUAGUCCCAGCUACUUGAUAGGCUCAGGCAGGAGAAUCGGUCGAACCCAGGAGGCAGAGGUUGCGGUGAGCAGAGAUUGCACCACUGCACUCCAGCCUGGGCGACAGAACAAGACUCCAUCUCAAAAAAAAAAAAAAAAAAGAAAAUAAAAUAAAAGAAAGAAAGGGGGAGGGGAAGGUUUAGGUUCACCUUCUGGGAAGAAACGUCCAAAUAAGUUUUUGGGACUCAGUCUAGGGGUGCUUUCUCCUGACUUCUCAGUGCAUAAUCCAAGAAAUCAAAAGCCCCUUUGAAAACACUCUCCAUUCAGUAAAGGCGAGAGACACAUGACUGCAUCCAAGUGCUAAUUUUGAAAUGGUUGAGGAGGUUUCUAGGCAAAUGGGCCCAAGAUAGUGCCUGCAUUCCCUAAUAACUGCAGAUCUUUGUAAAAAAUCAAAAGUUCACACAAGCCUCCAUGGGGCACAUGGAAAAGCUAAGAGAACUGAAAUUCCAAAGAAGACCUGGGGUCAGAAUAUAAAAGCUGCUUGUUACAGGGACUUUACAACUGGAGACCAGGGCAGGAAAAGGAACCUUAGAAUUUAGCAGCUGAUGUUGACAGAGUGCCUAAAGUAAUCAUGUGGGACAAGCUACACAUCCAUGAUCUCCAGCACUGAUGUCCAGGCCAGAGCAGCCAAGCCACAUUUCACUGUCUUUUCUCCACACCUGCCUUUUUUUUUUUUUCUUGAGACAGGGUCUCAUUCUGUUGCCUAGGCUGGAGUGCAGUGGUGCCAUCAUAGCUCACUGUAGCCUCAAAUUCCUGGGCUCAAGUGACCAUUUUGCCUCAGCCUCCCAAGUAGCUGGGACUACAGGUGAGAGCUACCACACUCAGCUAAUUUCUUAAAAAAAAAAUUGUAGGCUGGGCACGGUGGCUCAGGCUUGUAAUUCCAGCACUUUGGGAGGCCAAGGCGGGUGGAUCACCUGAGGUCAGGAGUUUGAGACCAUCCUGGCCAACACGGCGAAACCCUGUCUCUACUAAAAAUACAAAAAUUAGCUGGGUGUAGUGGUGCAGACCUGUAAUCCCAGCUACUAGGGAGGCUGAGGCAGGAGAAUCAUUUGAACCCAGGAGGCAGAGGUUGCAGGGAGCCGAAAUCGCGUCAUUGCACUUCAGCCUGGGCGAUAGAGUGAGAUUCCAUCUCAAAAAAAAAAAAAAUUUUUUUUGUAGAGACGAGGUCUUGCCAUGUUGGCCAGACUGGUCUUGAACUCCUAGGCUCAAAGGAUCCUCCCAUCUCAGCCUCCCGAACUGCGAGGAUUACAGGCAUGAGCCACAGUGCCCAGCCCCUGCUUUGAUGGUACAUGAACUUCCCCUCAACCAAUGCCAUUUGAUAAGGAGGAUUGAGAGGGGAGGCAUUUUCAAGGUAGAAAGGCAGCCUGGUAGAAAUCUAGGAAUAGAUAGAUUAUCUAACAAAAGGAACUAGUAUGGACUGAAAGAGACUGUGCUUAAACAGGAGAAGGCUGAUUUGCUUUUCCCUGGCAAUACAAAGAUUUUUCUUGCACUUUCACUUGGACUGGGGCUUGAGAACAAGAUGAGUUAUAAAUAAUACAACUUUUUUUUGUAUCUGAUACACAGUUUGUAAGUUUUUACCUUACUACAUAUGAGAGAGAAAGGGUUAUUAUUCCUUUGGGGAAGCUGUAUAUUAUAAUGGUCCAAAAUACUGUGCUAAUGUGGUGAUUACUAACCACAUGCAACUAUUUUAUUUUAUUAUUUAUUUCUUCUUUUUUUUUUUGAGACAGGGUCUCCCUCUGUAGCCCAGGCUGGAGGGCAGUGGUGCAAUCUCAGCUCACUGCAACUUCUGCCUCCCAGGUUCAAGCAAUUCUCCUGCCUCAGCCUCCCGAGUAGCUGGGAUUACAGGUGCCACCAUGCCUGGCAUAUUUUUGUAUUUUUAGUAGAGACGGGGUUUCACCAUGUUGGUCAGGCUGGUCUGGAACUCCCAACCUCAGGUGAUCCACCCGCCUUGGCCUCCCAAAGUGCUGGGAUUACAGGCAUGAACCACUGUGCCCAGCCCACAUGCAACUAUUUUAAUUGAAAUUAAAUAAAAUUAAAAUUUCUAUUUAUACUUCAACUUUCAGGUGCUCAUUUCAGGCAGUACUGAUAUGGUUAGCAGUCACCAUAUUGGCAAUGCAAUACAGAUUUACAGAAAAUUUCCAUCAUCACAGAAAGUCUUACUUGACAGUGUCUGAUUGCCCUGCCAACACUCUCUCCUCCACACGUUUGCCGGUACUUGUUAUUGUCUUUUUGAAUAUAGCCAUCAUAGUGGGUGUGAAGUUGUAUCUCACUGUGGCUUUGAUUUGCAUUUCCCUAAUCACUAGUAUGUUCAAUAUCUUUUCAUGUGCUUCUUGGCUAGUUGUAUAUCUUCCUUAGAAAGUUAUCUGUUCAGAUCCUUUGGACAUCUUCUAUUGGGUUGUCUUUUAUUUUUUAUUAUUUAUUUAUUUUUUUAUUUUUUUGAGCUGGAGUCUCACUCUGUCUCCCAGGCUGGAGUGCAGUGGCGCGAUCUCGGCUCACCGCAAGCUCCGCCUCCCAUGUUCACGCCAUUCUCCUGCCUCAGCCUCCCGAGUAGCUGGGACUACAGGCACCUACCACAACUCCUGGCUAAUUUUUUGUGUUUUUAGUAGAGACGGGGUUCCACUAUGUUGGCCAGGCUGGUCUUGAACUCCUGACCUUGUGAUCCGCCUGCUUCAGCCUCCCAAAGUGCUGGGAUUACAGGCGUGAGCCACCACGCGUGGCCUGUUUUUUGUUUUUUGAGAUGGAUCUAGCAUUACCAGUAUUAGAGGCACUGAAUGCCCAGUGACAUAUGUUCAACGGCUGCCGUAUCCUGACCGUGCAAAGGUAGCAUAAUCACUUGUUCCCUAAAUAGGGACUUGUAUGAAUGGCCACAUGAGGGUUUAGCUGUCUCGCUCUGUCACCCAGGCUGGAGUGCAGUGUCACAAUCUGGGCUCACUGAAACCUCUGCCUCCCAGGUUCAAGCAAUCCUCACACCUCUGCCUUCCAAGUAGCUGGGAUUACAGGCUUGCCCCACCAUGCCUGGCUAAUUUUUUUUUUUUUUUUUUUUUUUCAGACAGAGUCUUGCUCGGUUGCCAGGUUGGAGUGCAGUGGCGUGAUCUCGGCCCACUGCAACAUCUGCCUCCUGGGUUCAGGUGAUUCCCCUGCCUCAGCCUCCCGAGUAGCUGGGAUUAUAAGCAUGAGCCACUGCACCCGGCUAUGUUUUUGUAUUUUUAGUAGAGACAGGGUUUCGCCAUGUUGGCCAGCCUGGUCUUGAACUCCUGGUCUCAAGUGAUCCGCCCCCUUUGGCCUUCUGAAGUGCUGGGAUUACAGGCCUGAGCCACCGCGCUCUGCCCCUUUAUAUAUUUUGGAUACAACUCUCCUAUCACAUCUAUGAGUUGUAGUAUUUGCUCCCAUUCUGUAGAUGUUCUUUUCACUUUGUUAGUGAUAUCCUUAGGAGCACAAAAGGUUUUAAUUUCAAUUAAGUUCAAAGUAUAUCUUUUUCUCUUGUCAUUUGUGCUUUUGGUGCCCUAAGAAACCAUGGCAUAAUUGAGGGAACAAUGGUUUAUGCCUAACUUUCUUCUGAGAGUUUUAUAGUUUUAGCCCUUACAUUUGUGUCUAUGUUUUAUUUUGAGUUAAUUUUUAUAUAUGGUGUGAGGUGGAGGUCCAAAUGUAUUCUUUUGCAUGUGGCUAUUCAGUUGUCCCAGCAUCAUUUAUUGAAAAGACUAUUCUUUCCCCAGUGAUUUGUUUUGGCACCCUUGAUGAAAACGAAUGAAACAAAAGUGUAAGGAUUUAUUUCUGAGUUCUCAAUUUCAUUCCAUUAAUCUAUAGGUGUAGCCUAGUGCCAGUGCCACACUGUCUUGAUUAGUGUAGCUUUGUAGUAAGUUUUGAAAUUAUUAAAUGUGAAUACUCCAAUUUGGCUCCUCAAGAUUGUUUUGGCUAUGCUGGGUCCUCUGCAUUUCCAUAUGAACUUUAGGAUUGGCUUGUCAAUUUCUGCAAAAAGCCAGUUGGUAGUUUGUUAAUCUUAUUAAAUAUCUCUUGUAUGUGAUUACAUCAAUCUGUAGGUCAAGUUGGGAAGUGUUGCAACCUUAACAAUAUUGUCUCCUGGUCCAUAAACAUGGGAUGUAUUUUGUAUUUUCACUUUUAUUUACAUCUUCUUUUAUUUCAUUCAGCAGUAUUUUGUCACUUUUCAGUGUACAAGCUUUUUGUUUAAUUUACUCCUGAGUAUUUAAUUUUUUUGAUGCUAAUAUAAAAGUAACUUUUCUUAAUUUCACUUUUAGAUUAUUCAAUGCUAUUGUAUAGAAAUACGAUUUUUUUUUUUUUUUUUUUUUUUUUUGAGACAGGGUCUCACUUUGCCACCCAGGCUGGAGUACAGUGGCUCGAUCUUAGCUCACUGCAACCUUCACCUCCCCAGCUCAAGCAAUUCUCUCACCUCAGCCUUCUGAGUAGCUGGGACUACAGGUUCACACCACCACAACUGGCUAAUUUUUUUUUUUUUUUUUGAGACGGAGUCUCACUCUGUCGCCAGGCUGGAAGGCAGUGGGACAAUCUUGGCUCACUGCAACAUCUGCCUUCAGGGUUCAAGCGAUUCUCCUGCCUCAGCCUCCCAAGUAGCUGGGACUAUAGGUGCUCGCCACCAUGCCCAGCUAAUUUUUGUAUUUUUAGUAGAGACAGGGUUGUUGGCCAGGAUGGUCUCCAUCUCUUGACCUCGUGAUCUGCCCUCCUUGGCCUCCCAAAGUGCUGGGAUUACAGGCGUGAGCCAUCGCGCCUGGCCUUUUUUUUUUUUUCGGUAGGGACAGACUUUCACCAUGUUGCCCAGGUUGAUCUUGAACUCCUGGGCUCAAGCGAUCCACCAGCCUCAGCCUUCCAAAGUUCUGGGAUUACAGGCUGGUCUUGAACUCCUGACUUCAGGUGAUCUGUCCGCCUCAGCCUCCCAAAGUGCUAGUCCAUUUACACUCAAUUAUUGAUAAAGUAAUACAUGUUUACAUUUUUUUCUAUUUAUUUUCUAGAUGGCUUAUACCUUUUUUGUUCUAUUCCAUGAGUAGUACCUUUUUUCAUGUUAAAUACAUGCUUUCUACUGUACUGUUUUAAUUCUCUUAUUGUUUCUUUUUCUGUAUAUUUUUGUGUUAUUUUGUUACUGGCUGCCUAGUGGGUUAUAAUGAACAUUUUUAAACAACCUAGUUCCAAUUAGUACCAAGUUAACUUCAAUACUAUACCAAGACUUUGCUCCAAUAUAGCUCCUUUCCCUCUCCCACUUUGUGCUAUUAUUGUCACAAAUUACAUCUUUAAACAUUAUAAGCCCAUUAACGCAGCUUUAUAAUUAUUGAUCUCUGCAGUUGUCUUUUAAAUCAGUUAGAAGAAAGAGUUACAAACAAAAUACAUUUAUAUUUGUUUUAUAUUGACCUACAUAGUUAGUGCUCUUUCUUUCUUCAUGUGAAUUCAAGUAACUGUGUAGUGUCUUUCAUUUCAACCUGAAGGACUUCUUUAUUUUAUUUUUAAUUUUAAAUUUAUUUAUUUAUUUCUAAAAUACACAGGAUCUCACUGUGUUGCCCAGGCUGAUCUCAAAUUCCUGGGCUCAAGCAGUUCUCCUGCCUUGGCCUCCCAAAGUGCUGAGAUUACAGGUAUGAGCCACCCCUCCUAUCCCCUUUUAGUAUUUCUUGAGAACAAGUCUCCUAAUGAUAAAAUUUUCUUAGUGGUUUUGCUGUUGUUGUUGUUUUUAAAGCUAGGAAAGUCUUAAUUUCUCCUUUGUUUGUGAAGGAUAGUAUUGGUGAAAUUGUAUACAAUUCUUGGUUGAUAGUAAUUUUCUUUAAAGACUUUUAAUAUGAUAUUCAUUGCCUCUUGAUCAAGAGUAUGUUACUGCAUUUUCUUUCUGCUCUUCCCUUUUGUGUGUGUGUUUGUGUAUGUGUUUGUUACUGCAUUUCAAAGCCUUCUAGAGAGGUCUCAUUCCCCAGAUUUUCCCUUUUUCUAUCUUUCUUUCUUUUUUUAGAGAUGAGGGUCUCACUAUGUUGCCCUAGCUGGCGUCAACCCUUGGGCUCAAGCAAUCUUCCCCCAUCAGCCUCCCAAAGAGUUCGGAUGACAGGUGCAUGUCACUACUCUGAGCCUCUUUUAAGUUUUUUGUUCGUUUGUUUGUUUGUUUGUUUGAGACAACGUCUUGCUCUGU
This 9748-nucleotide long non-coding RNA is filed under the name Homo sapiens (human). RNAcentral describes it as "HSALNT0160253". The stretch from base 1262 to 1361 matches the Rfam family "Small nucleolar RNA U13". The record is from RNAcentral. Lineage: Eukaryota; Metazoa; Chordata; Mammalia; Primates; Hominidae.